Molecule: unclassified non-coding RNA, 250 nt
Filed under: plant metagenome
Description: partial contains small subunit ribosomal RNA, internal transcribed spacer 1, and 5.8S ribosomal RNA
Source: RNAcentral
GUAGGUGAACCUGCGGAAGGAUCAUUAACAAAUCUAUUCUUUAAUAAUAACCCGUUGCAAUGGCCGUGAAUUCCCAAUGUAGCCCUUCCUCUUUAGGGAAGAAGGAGCGAAAUUGGGUUGAAACGGAGAAAGGUCUGAUGUCGUCUUCCUUCCUUUUAGGAGGGGGAUGGUGGAUGACCUUUUCAUAUAAACGCGUCUACUUUAUGGUCUAACAGUUCGUAAUGGUAUUAUAACAAAUAACAACUAUUAA